RNAcentral lists this ribosomal RNA (497 nucleotides) under uncultured bacterium. RNAcentral's name for it is "bacterial SSU rRNA". It matches the Rfam family "Bacterial small subunit ribosomal RNA", at positions 899 to 1397 of the family's 1533-position model. The record is from RNAcentral.
ACUCAAAUGAAUUGACGGGGACCCGCACAAGCAGCGGAGCAUGUGGUUUAAUUCGAAGCAACGCGAAGAACCUUACCAGGGCUUGACAUCCCUCUGACCGGACGGUAACGCGUCCUUCCCUUCGGGGCAGAGGAGACAGGUGGUGCAUGGUUGUCGUCAGCUCGUGUCGUGAGAUGUUGGGUUAAGUCCCGCAACGAGCGCAACCCUUGUCAUUAGUUGCCAGCGGUUCGGCCGGGCACUCUAGUGAGACUGCCGGGGAUAACUCGGAGGAAGGUGGGGAUGACGUCAAAUCAUCAUGCCCCUUAUGUUCUGGGCUACACACGUGCUACAAUGGCUGGUACAAAGAGACGCAAAACCGCGAGGUGGAGCAAAUCUCAAAAACCAGUCCCAGUUCGGAUUGCAGGCUGCAACCCGCCUGCAUGAAGUCGGAGUUGCUAGUAAUCGUGAAUCAGAAUGUCACGGUGAAUGCGUUCCCGGGUCUUGUACACACCGCCCGU